RNAcentral lists this transfer RNA (72 nucleotides) under Camelus bactrianus (Bactrian camel). It matches the Rfam family "tRNA". Rfam says of the family: Transfer RNA (tRNA) molecules are approximately 80 nucleotides in length. Lineage: Eukaryota; Metazoa; Chordata; Mammalia; Artiodactyla; Camelidae. RNAcentral also lists the same sequence under 1 other name. The record is from Rfam by way of RNAcentral.
GUGGGUAUACCUCAGUGGGAGAGUGCAUGCUUAGCAAACAUGAAGUCCUGAGUUCAAUCCUCAAUACCUCCA